GGGGUCGUAGCUCCGUUGGUAGAGCGUCUCGUUCGCAAUGAGAAGGUCAGGGGUUCAAUCCCCCUCGACUCCACCA
This 76-nucleotide transfer RNA is filed under the name Verrucomicrobiales bacterium. Its description in RNAcentral is "tRNA-Ala". It matches the Rfam family "tRNA". Rfam says of the family: Transfer RNA (tRNA) molecules are approximately 80 nucleotides in length. Their secondary structure includes four short double-helical elements and three loops (D, anti-codon, and T loops). Lineage: Bacteria; Pseudomonadati; Verrucomicrobiota; Verrucomicrobiia; Verrucomicrobiales. The record is from RNAcentral.